This is a non-coding RNA of Oleiphilus sp. HI0069, 386 nucleotides long. Lineage: Bacteria; Pseudomonadati; Pseudomonadota; Gammaproteobacteria; Oceanospirillales; Oleiphilaceae. The record is from Rfam.
GGGGACGACAUGGCUUCGACGCUGGUAACAAAACCAAAGGUGCAUGCCGAGUGUAUAGUGGCACUCGUACUCCAAUCGCUAUAACUCAUAGUUGCAAAUGAUGACAACUACGGUGCUCAACUAGCUGCGUAAGCAGUGAAAAAGCACUUUUAGGGCUACGGCCCUAACGGUCUUUAGCAAGGUGCCUGUAUCGCGCUAAUGACUGUCACUCAGAACAGGAUCGCCAAGCGGCUUACUCAGGGUCGUUUCGUUAAACUUUACUGAGCUCGCCAACCACGUCCUGCCCGUUGGGCUGUGGAAGGUUAAACUAAUUAACGGAUUCUAAGCAUGUAGAGCCGAUGGCAGAGUGCUGACGGACGCGGGUUCAAUUCCCGCCGUCUCCACCA